GAUGAACGCUGGCGGCGUGCCUAAUACAUGCAAGUCGAGCGAACAGACGAGGAGCUUGCUCCUCUGACGUUAGCGGCGGACGGGUGAGUAACACGUGGAUAACCUACCUAUAAGACUGGGAUAACUUCGGGAAACCGGAGCUAAUACCGGAUAAUAUAUUGAACCGCAUGGUUCAAUAGUGAAAGACGGUUUUGCUGUCACUUAUAGAUGGAUCCGCGCCGCAUUAGCUAGUUGGUAAGGUAACGGCUUACCAAGGCAACGAUGCGUAGCCGACCUGAGAGGGUGAUCGGCCACACUGGAACUGAGACACGGUCCAGACUCCUAAGGGAGGCAGCAGUAGGGAAUCUUCCGCAAUGGGGGAAAGCCUGACGGAGCAACGCCGCGUGAGUGAUGAAGGUCUUCGGAUCGUAAAACUCUGUUAUUAGGGAAGAACAAAUGUGUAAGUAACUAUGCACGUCUUGACGGUACCUAAUCAGAAAGCCACGGCUAACUACGUG
RNAcentral lists this ribosomal RNA (497 nucleotides) under uncultured bacterium. RNAcentral describes it as "partial 16S ribosomal RNA". It matches the Rfam family "Bacterial small subunit ribosomal RNA", at positions 28 to 507 of the family's 1533-position model. The record is from RNAcentral.